RNAcentral lists this ribosomal RNA (440 nucleotides) under uncultured bacterium. Its description in RNAcentral is "partial 16S ribosomal RNA". It matches the Rfam family "Bacterial small subunit ribosomal RNA", at positions 338 to 795 of the family's 1533-position model. The record is from RNAcentral.
CCUACGGGUGGCAGCAGUGGGGGAUAUUGCACAAUGGGGGGAACCCUGAUGCAGCGACGCCGCGUGGGUGAAGAAGCGCCUCGGCGCGUAAAGCCCUGUCAGCAGGGAAGAAAAUGACGGUACCUGAAGAAGAAGCCCCGGCUAACUACGGGCCAGCAGCCGCGGGAAUACGUAGGGGGCAAGCGUUAUCCGGAUUUACUGGGGGUAAGGGGGGCGCAGGCGGGGAUGAAGGCCAGGAGUGAAAGCCCGGGGCCCAACCCCGGGACUGCUCUUGGAACUGCGUGGCUGGAGUGCAGGAGGGGCAGGCGGAAUUCCUGGUGUAGCGGUGAAAUGCGUAGAUAUCAGGAGGAACACCGGUGGCGAAGGCGGCCUGCUGGACUGCAACUGACGUUGAGGCCCGAAAGCGUGGGGAGCAAACAGGAUUAGAUACCCCAGUAGUC